GUCCAGACUCCUACGGGAGGCAGCAGUGAGGAAUUUUGCGCAAUGGGGGCAACCCUGACGCAGCAACGCCGCGUGAGUGAUGAAGGCUUUCGGGUCGUAAAGCUCUGUCAAGUGGGAAGAACCUGUUUCGUGCCAAUACCACGAAACACUGACGGUACCACUGAAGGAAGCACCGGCUAACUCCGUGCCAGCAGCCGCGGUAAUACGGGGGGUGCAAGCGUUAUUCGGAAUCAUUGGGCGUAAAGGGCGCGUAGGCGGUCCUGUAAGUCAGAUGUGAAAUCCUUUCGCUUAACGGAAGAAGUGCAUUUGAAACUGCAGGACUUGAGUAUGGGAGAGGGAAGUGGAAUUCCUGGUGUAGAGGUGAAAUUCGUAGAUAUCAGGAGGAACACCGGUGGCGAAGGCGACUUCCUGGACCAAUACUGACGCUGAGGCGCGAAGGCGUGGGGAGCAAACAGGAUUAGAUACCCUGGUAGUCCACGCAGUAAACUUUGUUCACUAGGUGUAGCGGGUAUUGACCCCUGCUGUGCCGAAGCUAACGCAUUAAGUGAACCGCCUGGGAAGUACGGCCGCAAGGUUAAAACUCAAAG
RNAcentral lists this ribosomal RNA (587 nucleotides) under uncultured bacterium. RNAcentral's name for it is "bacterial SSU rRNA". It matches the Rfam family "Bacterial small subunit ribosomal RNA", at positions 329 to 906 of the family's 1533-position model. The record is from RNAcentral.